GUAGCUGACGCGCAGUUUUUGGCGAAUCUCAAAAAACAGUCUCAGUUCGGAUUGAAGUCUGCAACUCGACUUCAUGAAGUUGGAAUCGCUAGUAAUCGCGAAUCAGCAUGUCGCGGUGAAUACGUUCUCGGGGUUUGUACACACCGCCCGUCAAACCACGAAAGUUGGCAAUACCCAAAGCCGGUGGCCUAACUUCGCAAGAAGAGGGAACCGUCUAAGGUAGGGUCGAUGAUUGGGGUUAAGUCGUAACAAGGUAUCCCUACCGGAAGGUGGGGAUGGAUCACCUCCUUUCUAAGGAAACAAUUAUCAUCUUCAGUUUUGAGAGACUUAAGAAAGUUUUUCAUUGUAACUUGCUUGCAAAUUGUAUUUGCAACAUUUUAAUCUUUUUAAGAUUAAGGGCCUAUAGCUCAGUUGGUUAGAGCACACGCCUGAUAAGCGUGAGGUCGGUGGUUCGAGUCCAUUUAGGCCCACCAAAACCACAAAUA
RNAcentral lists this unclassified non-coding RNA (485 nucleotides) under 'Prunus avium' phytoplasma PCHE1. RNAcentral describes it as "partial contains 16S ribosomal RNA, 16S-23S ribosomal RNA intergenic spacer, and 23S ribosomal RNA". The stretch from base 1 to 291 matches the Rfam family "Bacterial small subunit ribosomal RNA", at positions 1246 to 1533 of the family's 1533-position model. Lineage: Bacteria; Bacillati; Mycoplasmatota; Mollicutes; Acholeplasmatales; Acholeplasmataceae. The record is from RNAcentral.